This 65-nucleotide transfer RNA is filed under the name Dipodomys ordii (Ord's kangaroo rat). It matches the Rfam family "tRNA". Rfam says of the family: Transfer RNA (tRNA) molecules are approximately 80 nucleotides in length. The record is from Rfam by way of RNAcentral. Lineage: Eukaryota; Metazoa; Chordata; Mammalia; Rodentia; Heteromyidae.
GGUGGCUCAGUGGUAGAGCGCUAGCCUUGCAUGCAUGAAGCCCUGGGUUCGAUUCCCUAGCACCA